RNAcentral lists this ribosomal RNA (253 nucleotides) under uncultured bacterium. RNAcentral's name for it is "partial 16S ribosomal RNA". It matches the Rfam family "Bacterial small subunit ribosomal RNA", at positions 524 to 776 of the family's 1533-position model. The record is from RNAcentral.
UACAGAGGGUGCGAGCGUUAAUCGGAAUUACUGGGCGUAAAGCGUGCGUAGACGGUUAUUUAAGUCGGGGGUGAAAGCCCCGGGCUCAACCUGGGAAUUGCAUUCGAGACUGAAUAGCUAGGGUACGGUAGAGGGAAGUGGAAUUUCCGGUGUAGCGGUGAAAUGCGUAGAUAUCGGAAGGAACAUCAGUGGCGAAAGCGACUUCCUGGGACGGUACUGACGCUGAGACGCGAAAGCGUGGGGAGCGAACAGG